This 497-nucleotide ribosomal RNA is filed under the name uncultured bacterium. RNAcentral's name for it is "partial 16S ribosomal RNA". It matches the Rfam family "Bacterial small subunit ribosomal RNA", at positions 28 to 507 of the family's 1533-position model. The record is from RNAcentral.
GAUGAACGCUGGCGGCGUGCCUAAUACAUGCAAGUCGAGCGAAAAGACGAGGAGCUUGCUCCUCUGACGUUAGCGGCGGACGGGUGAGUAACACGUGGAUAACCUACCUAUAAGACUGGGAUCACUUCGGGAAACCGGAGCUAAUACCAGAUAAUAUAUUUAACCGCAUGGUUCAAUAGUGAAAGACGGUUUUGCUGUCACUUAUAGAUGGAUCCGCGCCGCAUUAGCUAGUUGGUAAGGUAACGGCUUACCAAGGCGACGAUGCGUAGCCGACCUGGGAGGGGGAUCGGCGACACUGGAACUGAGACACGGUCCAGACUCCUACGGGAGGCAGAAGUAGGGAAGCUUCCGCAAUGGGCGAAAGCCUGACGGAGCAACGCCGCGUGAGUGAUGAAGGUCUUCGGAUCGUAAAACUCUGUUAUUAGGGAAGAACAAAUGUGUAAGUAACUAUGCACGUCUUGACGGUACCUAAUCAGAAAGCCACGGCUAACUACGUG